GAUGAACGCUGGCGGGAGGCUUAACACAUGCAAGCCGAACGGUAGAGUUUCUUCGGAAACUUGAUAGCGUCGCACGGGGGCGUAACACGUGUGCAACCUACCUUUAUCUGGGUGGUAGCCUUUCGAAAGGAAGAGUAAUACCCCAUAAUAUAAUUAUUGGCAUCAAUUAUUAUUUAGAACUCCGGUGGAUAGAGAUGGGCACGCGCAAGAUUAGAUAGUUGGUGAGGUAACGGCUCACAAAGUCAAUGAUACUUAGGGGUCCUGAGAGGGAGAUCCCCCACACUGGUACUGCGACACGGACCAGACUACUACGCGCGGAAGCCGUCAGGAGGAUUCGACAAUGGGCGAGAGACUGAUCCAGCCAUCCCGAGUGAAGGACGACGGUCGUAUGGAUUGUAACCUUCUUUUGUAAAGGGCUAACCCUAACCUCGUGAGGGUAGCUGAAGGUACUGUACGAAUAAGCACCGGCUAACUACGUG
This 479-nucleotide ribosomal RNA is filed under the name uncultured bacterium. Its description in RNAcentral is "partial 16S ribosomal RNA". It matches the Rfam family "Bacterial small subunit ribosomal RNA", at positions 28 to 507 of the family's 1533-position model. The record is from RNAcentral.